UGCUCCUACAAUGUUUGGCUGUCGUCUGAAAAGUUGCAUUUUCUUAUCAGUUUAAUUUAGUAAACAUUUUUAAUUAAAUUGCCGUUCCUCCAGAUUUUUAAAUAAAUGUUCACAUGUGAGACUUUGUCAACUGCCUCUCUCCAGGGCCUCCCUUAACUUCAGUAAGCACAACAAUGAAGUAUUAGACCAAGAAAUAGAGACCUUGUAAGCCCACGUCUUUCAGUAACAAUGUAAAUUACUUGGACUAUUCAUUCAAUGUAAAUCACCUGGGACACUUAAUGGAACAGAAUUCAACCAUCCACAACCAUCUGUUGCCACAUGGAUCAAAAUACUACAAAAUGUAACCACUGCUCCAGUGCCAUAUAACAUGUAUGGUCUUACCAUACGGGGCCAGGAAAAUCCAGCAGAUGCAU
This is a long non-coding RNA of Hyaena hyaena (striped hyena), 413 nucleotides long. RefSeq lists it as uncharacterized. The transcript has 3 exons. The record is from RefSeq and is a predicted model, not a curated record. Lineage: Eukaryota; Metazoa; Chordata; Mammalia; Carnivora; Hyaenidae.